RNAcentral lists this ribosomal RNA (618 nucleotides) under bacterium U02. RNAcentral's name for it is "bacterial SSU rRNA". It matches the Rfam family "Bacterial small subunit ribosomal RNA", at positions 56 to 670 of the family's 1533-position model. The record is from RNAcentral.
UGCAGUCGAGCGGAUGANAGGAGCUUGCUCCUGGAUUCAGCGGCGGACGGGUGAGUAAUGCCUAGGAAUCUGCCUGNUAGUGGGGGACAACGUUUCGAAAGGAACGCUAAUACCGCAUACGUCCUACGGGAGAAAGCAGGGGACCUUCGGGCCUUGCGCUAUCAGAUGAGCCUAGGUCGGAUUAGCUAGUUGGUGAGGUAAUGGCUCACCAAGGCGACGAUCCGUAACUGGUCUGAGAGGAUGAUCAGUCACACUGGAACUGAGACACGGUCCAGACUCCUACGGGAGGCAGCAGUGGGGAAUAUUGGACAAUGGGCGAAAGCCUGAUCCAGCCAUGCCGCGUGUGUGAAGAAGGUCUUCGGAUUGUAAAGCACUUUAAGUUGGGAGGAAGGGUUGUAGAUUAAUACUCUGCAAUUUUGACGUUACCGACAGAAUAAGCACCGGCUAACUCUGUGCCAGCAGCCGCGGUAAUACAGAGGGUGCAAGCGUUAAUCGGAAUUACUGGGCGUAAAGCGCGCGUAGGUGGUUUGUUAAGUUGGAUGUGAAAUCCCCGGGCUCAACCUGGGAACUGCAUCCAAAACUGGCAAGCUAGAGUAUGGUAGAGGGUGGUGGAAUAUC